CCUACGGGUGGCAGCAGUGAGGAAUAUUGGUCAAUGGACGCAAGUCUGAACCAGCCAUGCCGCGUGCAGGAUGACGGCUCUAUGAGUUGUAAACUGCUUUUGUACGAGGGUAAACCCAGACACGCGUGCCUUUCUGCAUGUACCUUACGAAUAAGGAUCGGCUAACUCCGUGCCAGCAGCCGCGGUAAUACGGAGGAUUCAAGCGUUAUCCGGAUUUAUUGGGUUUAAAGGGUGCGUAGGCGGUCGGGUAAGUUAGAUGUGAAAGCCUGAGGCUCAACUGCGGAAUUGCCUCUGAUACUGGUAGGCUAGAGAGUAGUUGCGGUAGGCGGAAUGUGUGGUGUAGCGGUGAAAUGCUUAGAGAUCAUGCAGAACACCGAUUGCGAAGGCAGCUUACUAAGCUACGUCUGACAUUGAGGCACGAAAGCGUGGGGAGCAAACAGGAUUAGAUACCCCAGUAGUC
This 460-nucleotide ribosomal RNA is filed under the name uncultured bacterium. RNAcentral describes it as "partial 16S ribosomal RNA". It matches the Rfam family "Bacterial small subunit ribosomal RNA", at positions 338 to 795 of the family's 1533-position model. The record is from RNAcentral.